UGUCAGCUUUAGGAGGGGGAAAAAAAACUUGUUCAAUUAAAUAUUUCAUAACUAGUACAAAUCCUGGAUUUCCAGUAAGUAUUUCUAACUGAUAAUUUGUAGCCCUGUUGCUCGUAACACAAAAUAAGUCUAUAAACUGUAUUGGAAAUUAUCACAUAUACUUUUUAGGAAAGUGAAAAAGGUACAUCAUAUAUUGGAUUUCAGCAACAAAAACCAGCAUAAUAUUUUUAAUAACUAUCCACAUAGAAAACACACACUAGGAAAUUCUGACUUAGAGGAGAUUGAAAAUCCUAGAUAUUUUUCACAAUCAGUGUAAAUUAUUAGCAGUUCCACUGAAGUCAAUAGUUAAAACAUCACAUGAUCAGAAUCAGUCUUAUUUGGAAUUUUAAGAGGCUACACCCCCCCUCAGAUUUUUGCUGCAUUUGAAAAUAGUGCAAAUCAAAGGAAACGAAGAAGUAAAGUUACUAAUAGUACUGAACUUAUAGAAUCCAAAACAAGCAUUAUAAACUGACUGUAAUCUUGAAAGCAAAUGUGUAAACUUAAGUAAGAUCUCAAGUUAAAACAAGAUCAAAUAAUGUUAGAUAUUAAUUAUUCUUUUUAAUGUCUUCAUAAGAACAGUACAACAACUAAUGAAAAAAUCCUGAAAAGAUUCUCUGUUUCAAAAGUGAUAGUGAAUGAAUUUCAAAUAAAGAGCAGGCAAAUGAAAAAAAUCAAAGUUUGUAUCUAACAGUGACGGGAAGAGCGGAUGAAAUACGGUCUUUUGUUCUCUUCUUGAAUAAAAUACACUUACUUUAGGGCCAAACUAUUCCCACAGUUACAUGCACACAACUCUGAUUUCAAUGGAAGCUGCUUGUGAAUAUCUGAUGGCAGAAUCUAACCUCACCUAUCCUGACUUAUAGAUUCUUUGAGGCAGACAUUAAAAUUGGCCAUGGGGAAACACAGAGGAGAAAAAAACAAAUCCACACCAUUCAAAAUUAUAAGCAAGUUUUAAGACCUAAAUAAGAUCUAUUUGAAAACCUGCAAAAAAGUACCCUGGCUAGGGCAGAAUGGGGAGUACCCUAGCAUGGAGUCCCAUUAACACAUUAAUAGGAUUCUCUCCUAUGUAGACCCCUUUGCAAGACUGAAGUAUUUAUUAGUAGUGAGAGUUUUUCAUUUUCUAGUUAAAGAAGAGAUAAAUGGAUUUUGCAAUAAUAUUCUUACCACCAAAAAAAAAAAAAAAAAAGCAGUGGAGCAGAAUGUUAUCACAGGACAAAAUGUCUUUUACUAUUAGAUAAAGGCAGAACAGUACAGCCAUGGAAUUUAUUAAAAUGCCAUUGAAACAAGGACAAAAAGUUUAUUUACAAAACAUCAAACAAUUAUCAAACAUCAUCUUGUUCCAGUGGAUGGAGAUUAUAUAUAUAAGCGCAAGUGAUUUUCUUUAAUUCUGCCAGAAUGUUACAGACUUGGUUUAAUUACUACAGCUAUUUUAACUGAUAAAACUAUUCAUUAAAUAUUUUUGUUAGUAGGUUUCUGAAUGACAGACAAGUCUUUAGUGGGGUUUUUUGUCUUAAAAGCACCACUAAAG
This is a non-coding RNA of Chelonoidis abingdonii (Abingdon island giant tortoise), 1564 nucleotides long. The record is from RefSeq and is a predicted model, not a curated record. NCBI's taxonomy places the organism in Eukaryota, Metazoa, Chordata, Testudines, Testudinidae.